RNAcentral lists this ribosomal RNA (478 nucleotides) under uncultured organism. Its description in RNAcentral is "partial 16S ribosomal RNA". It matches the Rfam family "Bacterial small subunit ribosomal RNA", at positions 332 to 801 of the family's 1533-position model. The record is from RNAcentral.
UACACUCCUACGGGAGGCAGCAGUGGGGAAUAUUGCACAAUGGGCGCAAGCCUGAUGCAGCCAUGCCGCGUGUAUGAAGAAGGCCUUCGGGUUGUAAAGUACUUUCAGCGGGGAGGAAGGCGAUAAGGUUAAUAACCUUGUUGAUUGACGUUACCCGCAGAAGAAGCACCGGCUAACUCCGUGCCAGCAGCCGCGGUAAUACGGAGGGUGCAAGCGUUAAUCGGAAUUACUGGGCGUAAAGCGCACGCAGGCGGUCUGUCAAGUCGGAUGUGAAAUCCCCGGGCUCAACCUGGGAACUGCAUUCGAAACUGGCAGGCUAGAGUCUUGUAGAGGGGGGUAGAAUUCCAGGUGUAGCGGUGAAAUGCGUAGAGAUCUGGAGGAAUACCGGUGGCGAAGGCGGCCCCCUGGACAAAGACUGACGCUCAGGUGCGAAAGCGUGGGGAGCAAACAGGAUUAGAAACCCCUGUAGUCCCAUGAU